CAGCUUGUUGGCGGGGUAACGGCCCACCAAGGCAACGACGGGUAGCUGGUUUGAGAGAACGAUCAGCCACACUGGGACUGAGACACGGCCCAGACUCCUACGGGAGGCAGCAGUGGGGAAUCUUGCGCAAUGGGCGAAAGCCUGACGCAGCAACGCCGCGUGCGGGAUGACGGCCUUCGUGGUUGUAAACCGCUUUCAGCAGGGACGAAAAUGACGGUACCUGCAGAAGAAGCCCCGGCUAACUACGUGCCAGCAGCCGCGGUAAUACGUAGGGGGCAAGCGUUGUCCGGAAUCAUUGGGCGUAAAGAAUUCGUAGGCGGUUCAGUAAGUCGGGUGUGAAAGCUCCGAGCUCAACUCGGAGAGGCCACUCGAUACUGCUGUGACUAGAAUCCAGUAGGGGAGUGUGGAACUCCUGGUGUAGCGGUGAAAUGCGCAGAUAUCAGGAAGAACACCAGCGGCGAAGGCGGCACUCUGGGCUGGUAUUGACGCUGAGGAGCGAAAGUGUGGGUAGCAAACAGGAUUAGAUACCCUGGUAGUCCACACCGUAAACGUUGGGCACUAGGUGUGGGGAGGAUCAACCCUUUCCGUGCCGUAGCUAACGCAUUAAGUGCCCCGCCUGGGGAGUACGGUCUCUAGAGGA
Molecule: ribosomal RNA, 640 nt
Filed under: uncultured Actinomycetes bacterium
Lineage: Bacteria; Bacillati; Actinomycetota; Actinomycetes
Description: bacterial SSU rRNA
Rfam family: Bacterial small subunit ribosomal RNA
Source: RNAcentral